UACCAGCUCUCCGAGUGGUAGGGAUGAUUAUUGGGCUUAAAGCGUCCGUAGCCGGCUUAGCAAGUUUCCUGUUAAAUUCAGCGACCUAAUCGUUGAGCCGCGGGAAAUACUACUAGGCUAGGAGGCGGGAGAGGUCGACGGUACUUCUGGGGUAGGGGUGAAAUCCUAUAAUCCCGGGAGGACCACCAGUGGCGAAGGCUGUCGACUAGAACGCGCUCGACGGUGAGGGACGAAAGCUGGGGGAGCGAACCGGAUUAGAUACCCGGGUAGCCCCAGCUGUAAACGAUGCGGGCUAGGUGUUGGGGUGGCUACGUGCCACUUCAGUGCCGCAGGGAAGCCAUUAAGCCCGCCGCCUGGGGAGUACGGCCGCAAGGCUGAAACUUAAAGGAAUUGGCGGGGGAGCACCACAAGGCGUGAAGCUUGCGGUUC
This 429-nucleotide ribosomal RNA is filed under the name uncultured archaeon. Its description in RNAcentral is "bacterial SSU rRNA". It matches the Rfam family "Archaeal small subunit ribosomal RNA", at positions 474 to 903 of the family's 1478-position model. The record is from RNAcentral.